Molecule: long non-coding RNA, 824 nt
Organism: Xiphophorus hellerii (green swordtail)
Lineage: Eukaryota; Metazoa; Chordata; Actinopteri; Cyprinodontiformes; Poeciliidae
Exons: 2
Source: RefSeq, a predicted model, not a curated record
AUCACAGACUAUGCAGACAUCAAAAUCAAUCUGGUUGUCUCUGUUGUAGGGUUGGCUUAACAAAAAGAAGGGAACAGUUGCAGCCCAUUUCCUGCAUGGGCCUGUGUGUGCUGGCUCCUAAAGUACUGACUCCAGCUGAAGUCAACACCUUGUGAUUCAUGAACUUCCUCACCCUCACGUUGCACUGGAGGCCGCCUACUUCCUGUGCGACUGGAGCUGUAGUACUUUGUCCUGAUUUUCCUGACUCGACACAACGAGUCUGUUUAAAAAAAAAAAAAAAGGCUCAAAAAUAGAGUUGAAUGCAAAUUUGCAGCCUGCUUGAAAAAUUGAGAAAAUGAACCAGCUUUUUUCCCCCCCCAAAGCGGAUUAUAAUACCUCGAAGACAAUCAAGGACGCUCCAUCCACCCCCUCCUGACCUCCACUCCUCUCUUUUUUUCUGCCCCAAAGGCUUCCCCUCCCCGAGUCCCUCUGAGUGUGGAAUCUCCCUAAAUUCAACAGCUGCUCACAGGCAAAACAAACAGUAGAGCCGAAAAGCAGAGCACCGGGGUGUGCCAAUAAUUGUUAAAGAGGUGAUUACAUCAGUGACAGUAUAUCAGUAGCAGCCCAACAGGAAGAAGCAACGCAAAGUUGCUUUGAAAGAGUUAUAACGUUUAUUCAUUUUAACCCAAUUAAUUCUGGUUCACGGGAAAUUCAAACAAAUAUUGUGCAAUUAUGUUAUUAGUAAAAGCAGAUGACUGGUUUCUAUAGGUAUAACAGGAGUUGAGAUAAUUGAGACAAUUCUUUGUCUGUUUCUUAUAUUUUUGUAAAAAAAACAAAAAACCACA